AUACGUAGGGGGCGAGCGUUGUCCGGAAUGAUUGGGCGUAAGGGGCGCGUAGGCGGCCCGGUAAGUCUGGAGUGAAAGUCCUGUUUUUAAGAUGGGAAUUGCUUUGGAUACUGUCGGGCUUGAGUGCAGGAGAGGUAAGUGGAAUUCCCAGUGUAGCGGUGAAAUGCGUAGAGAUUGGGAGGAACACCAGUGGCGAAGGCGACUUACUGGACUGUAACUGACGCUGAGGCGCGAAAGUGUGGGGAGCAAACAGGAUUAGAUACCCUGGUAGUCCACACUGUAAACGAUGAAUGCGAGGUGUAGGGGGUAUCGACCCCUUCUGUGCCGCAGUCAACACAAUAAGCAUUCCGCCUGGGGAGUACGGCCGCAAGGUUGAAACUCAAAGGAAUUGACGGGG
Molecule: ribosomal RNA, 397 nt
Filed under: uncultured bacterium
Lineage: Bacteria
Description: partial 16S ribosomal RNA
Rfam family: Bacterial small subunit ribosomal RNA
Source: RNAcentral